Molecule: ribosomal RNA, 918 nt
Filed under: uncultured bacterium
Lineage: Bacteria
Description: bacterial SSU rRNA
Rfam family: Bacterial small subunit ribosomal RNA
Source: RNAcentral
AGUUUGAUCCUGGCUCAGGAUGAACGCUAGCUACAGGCUUAACACAUGCAAGUCGAGGGGAAACGACAUCGAAAGCUUGCUUUUGAUGGGCGUCGACCGGCGCACGGGUGAGUAACGCGUAUCCAACCUGCCCAUCACUUGGGGAUAACCUUGCGAAAGUAAGACUAAUACCCAAUGAUAUCUCUAGAAGACAUCUGAAAGAGAUUAAAGAUUUAUCGGUGAUGGAUGGGGAUGCGUCUGAUUAGCUUGUUGGCGGGGUAACGGCCCACCAAGGCGACGAUCAGUAGGGGUUCUGAGAGGAAGGUCCCCCACAUUGGAACUGAGACACGGUCCAAACUCCUACGGGAGGCAGCAGUGAGGAAUAUUGGUCAAUGGGCGAGAGCCUGAACCAGCCAAGUAGCGUGCAGGAUGACGGCCCUAUGGGUUGUAAACUGCUUUUAUAAGGGAAUAAAGUGAGUCUCGUGAGAUUUUUUGCAUGUACCUUAUGAAUAAGGACCGGCUAAUUCCGUGCCAGCAGCCGCGGUAAUACGGAAGGUCCGGGCGUUAUCCGGAUUUAUUGGGUUUAAAGGGAGCGUAGGCCGGAGAUUAAGCGUGUUGUGAAAUGUAGACGCUCAACGUCUGCACUGCAGCGCGAACUGGUUUCCUUGAGUACGCACAAAGUGGGCGGAAUUCGUGGUGUAGCGGUGAAAUGCUUAGAUAUCACGAAGAACUCCGAUUGCGAAGGCAGCUCACUGGAGCGCAACUGACGCUGAAGCUCGAAAGUGCGGGUAUCGAACAGGAUUAGAUACCCUGGUAGUCCGCACGGUAAACGAUGGAUGCCCGCUGUUGGUCUGAAUAGGUCAGCGGCCAAGCGAAAGCAUUAAGCAUCCCACCUGGGGAGUACGCCGGCAACGGUGAAACUCAAAGGAAUUGACGGAA